RNAcentral lists this ribosomal RNA (490 nucleotides) under uncultured bacterium. Its description in RNAcentral is "partial 16S ribosomal RNA". It matches the Rfam family "Bacterial small subunit ribosomal RNA", at positions 28 to 507 of the family's 1533-position model. The record is from RNAcentral.
GAUGAACGCUAGCUACAGGCUUAACACAUGCAAGUCGCGGGGCAGCAUGGGGGUUGCUUGCAAUCCCCGAUGGCGACCGGCGCACGGGUGAGUAACGCGUAUCCAACCUGCCCUUCACCACGGGAUAACCCGGCGAAGGUCGGACUAAUACCGUAUGUUGUCCAUUGACGGCAUCCGAUUUGGACGAAAGGCUUGGCGGUGAGGGAUGGGGAUGCGUCCGAUUAGCCAGACGGCGGGGUCACGGCCCACCGUGGCUACGAUCGGUAGGGGUUCUGAGAGGAAGGUCCCCCACACUGGAACUGAGACACGGUCCAGACUCCUACGGGAGGCAGCAGUGAGGAAUAUUGGUCAAUGGGCGUAAGCCUGAACCAGCCAAGUAGCGUGCAGGAUGACGGCCCUAUGGGUUGUAAACUGCUUUUAUGCGGGGAUAAAGUGGCCCACGUGUGGGCUUUUGCAGGUACCGCAUGAAUAAGGACCGGCUAAUUCCGUG